UAGGGAAUCUUCGGCAAUGGACGAAAGUCUGACCGAGCAACGCCGCGUGAGUGAAGAAGGUUUUCGGAUCGUAAAACUCUGUUGUUAGAGAAGAACAAGGACGUUAGUAACUGAACGUCCCCUGACGGUAUCUAACCAGAAAGCCACGGCUAACUACGUGCCAGCAGCCGCGGUAAUACGUAGGUGGCAAGCGUUGUCCGGAUUUCUUCGGCGUAAAGCGAGCGCAGGCGGUUUCUUAAGUCUGAUGUGAAAGCCCCCGGCUCAACCGGGGAGGGUCAUUGGAAACUGGGGUACUUGAGUGCAGAAGAGGAGAGUGGAAUUCCAUGUGUAGCGGUUAAAUGCGUAGAUAUAUGGAGGAACACCAGUGGCGAGGGCGGCUCUCUGGUCUGUAACUGACGCUGAGGCUCGAAAGCGUGGGGAGCAAACAGG
RNAcentral lists this ribosomal RNA (429 nucleotides) under Gemmatimonadota bacterium. RNAcentral describes it as "Gemmatimonadetes bacterium partial 16S ribosomal RNA". It matches the Rfam family "Bacterial small subunit ribosomal RNA", at positions 355 to 776 of the family's 1533-position model. Lineage: Bacteria; Pseudomonadati; Gemmatimonadota. The record is from RNAcentral.